Molecule: ribosomal RNA, 414 nt
Filed under: uncultured bacterium gp4
Lineage: Bacteria
Description: bacterial SSU rRNA
Rfam family: Bacterial small subunit ribosomal RNA
Source: RNAcentral
UGGCGCACGGGUGAGUAACACGUAGGUAAUCUACCUUUUGAGUGGGGAAUAACUUAGGGAAACUUAAGCUAAUACCGCAUAAUGCAGCAGUAUCUAUGAUGCAGUUGUUAAAGGAGCAAUCCGCUUAAAGAGGAGCCUGCGGCAGAUUAGCUAGUUGGUAAGGUAAUGGCUUACCAAGGCGACGAUCUGUAUCCGACCUGAGAGGGUGGUCGGACACACUGACACUGAAUAACGGGUCAGACUCCUACGGGAGGCAGCAGUCGGGAAUUUUGGGCAAUGGGCGAAAGCCUGACCCAGCAACGCCGCGUGAAGGAUGAAGUCUUUCGGGAUGUAAACUUCGUAAGAAUAGGAAGAAUAAAUGACGGUACUAUUUGUAAGGUCCGGCUAACUACGUGCCAGCAGCCGCGGUAAUAC